Molecule: ribosomal RNA, 619 nt
Filed under: Salmonella enterica subsp. enterica serovar Enteritidis
Lineage: Bacteria; Pseudomonadati; Pseudomonadota; Gammaproteobacteria; Enterobacterales; Enterobacteriaceae
Description: partial 23S ribosomal RNA
Rfam family: Bacterial large subunit ribosomal RNA
Source: RNAcentral
CCGAACCGACUAAUGUUGAAAAAUUAGCGGAUGACCUGUGGCUGGGGGUGAAAGGCCAAUCAAACCGGGAGAUAGCUGGUUCUCCCCGAAAGCUAUUUAGGUAGCGCCUCGUGAAUUCAUCUCCGGGGGUAGAGCACUGUUUCGGCUAGGGGGCCAUCCCGGCUUACCAACCCGAUGCAAACUGCGAAUACCGGAGAAUGUUAUCACGGGAGACACACGGCGGGUGCUAACGUCCGUCGUGAAGAGGGAAACAACCCAGACCGCCAGCUAAGGUCCCAAAGUCAUGGUUAAGUGGGAAACGAUGUGGGAAGGCCCAGACAGCCAGGAUGUUGGCUUAGAAGCAGCCAUCAUUUAAAGAAAGCGUAAUAGCUCACUGGUCGAGUCGGCCUGCGCGGAAGAUGUAACGGGGCUAAACCAUGCACCGAAGCUGCGGCAGCGACACUGUGUGUUGUUGGGUAGGGGAGCGUUCUGUAAGCCUGCGAAGGUGGCCUGUGAGGGUUGCUGGAGGUAUCAGAAGUGCGAAUGCUGACAUAAGUAACGAUAAAGCGGGUGAAAAGCCCGCUCGCCGGAAGACCAAGGGUUCCUGUCCAACGUUAAUCGGGGCAGGGUGAGUCGACCC